Molecule: ribosomal RNA, 795 nt
Filed under: gamma proteobacterium SCGC AAA076-D02
Lineage: Bacteria; Pseudomonadati; Pseudomonadota; Gammaproteobacteria
Also listed under: 5 other names
Description: bacterial SSU rRNA
Rfam family: Bacterial small subunit ribosomal RNA
Source: RNAcentral
CGAUACUAGCUUGCUAGUAGGCGUCGAGUGGCGGACGGGUGAGUAACGCGUAGGAAUCUGCCUGAUAGUGGGGGAUAGCCCGAAGAAAUUCGGAUUAAUACCGCAUAAUCUAUUCGUAGUAAAGUGGGGGACUUUCGAGCCUCACGCUAUCAGAUGAGCCUGCGUAAGAUUAGCUUGUUGGUAGGGUAAAAGCCUACCAAGGCGACGAUCUUUAGCUGGUCUGAGAGGAUGAUCAGCCACAUCGGGACUGAGACACGGCCCGAACUCCUACGGGAGGCAGCAGUGGGGAAUAUUGGACAAUGGGGGCAACCCUGAUCCAGCAAUACCGCGUGUGUGAAGAAGGCCUGAGGGUUGUAAAGCACUUUCAAUUGUGAAGAAAAGUUAGCGGUUAAUAACCGUUAGCCUUGACGUUAACUUUAGAAGAAGCACCGGCUAACUCCGUGCCAGCAGCCGCGGUAAUACGGAGGGUGCAAGCGUUAAUCGGAAUUACUGGGCGUAAAGCGUGCGUAGGCGGUUUAUUAAGUCAGAUGUGAAAGCCCCGGGCUUAACCUGGGAACUGCAUUUGAAACUGGUCAACUAGAGUAUGGUAGAGGAAAGUGGAAUUUCUGGUGUAGCGGUGAAAUGCGUAGAUAUCAGAAGGAACAUCAAUGGCGAAGGCAGCUUUCUGGACCAAUACUGACGCUGAGGUACGAAAGCGUGGGUAGCAAACAGGAUUAGAUACCCUGGUAGUCCACGCCGUAAACGAUGAUAACUAGCCGUUGGGGGGAUUUACCCUUUAGUGGCGAAGCUAACGCG